This 497-nucleotide ribosomal RNA is filed under the name uncultured bacterium. RNAcentral describes it as "partial 16S ribosomal RNA". It matches the Rfam family "Bacterial small subunit ribosomal RNA", at positions 28 to 507 of the family's 1533-position model. The record is from RNAcentral.
GAUGAACGCUGGCGGCGUGCCUAAUACAUGCAAGUCGAGCGAACGGACGAGAAGCUUGCUUCUCUGAUGUUAGCGGCGGACGGGUGAGUAACACGUGGAUAACCUACCUCUAAGACUGGGAUAACUUCGGGAAACCGGAGCUAAUACCGGAUCAUAUUUUGAACCGCAUGGUUCAAAAGUGAAAGACGGUCUUGCUGUCACUUAUAGAUGGAUCCGCGCUGCAUUAGCUAGUUGGUAAGGUAACGGCUUACCAAGGCAACGAUGCAUAGCCGACCUGAGAGGGUGAUCAGCCACACUGGAACUGAGACACGGUCCAGACUCCUACGGGAGGCAGCAGUAGGGAAUCUUCCGCAAUGGGCGAAAGCCUGACGGAGCAACGCCGCGUGAGUGAUGAAGGUCUUCGGAUCGUAAAACUCUGUUAUUAGGGAAGAACAUAUGUGUAAGUAACUGUGCACAUCUUGACGGUACCUAAUCAGAAAGCCACGGCUAACUACGUG